AACGUAGGGGGCGAGCGUUGUCCGGAAUUACUGGGCGUAAAGAGCUCGUAGGCGGUUUGUCGCGUCUGCCGUGAAAGUCCGGGGCUCAACUCCGGAUCUGCGGUGGGUACGGGCAGACUAGAGUGAUGUAGGGGAGACUGGAAUUCCUGGUGUAGCGGUGAAAUGCACAGAUAUCAGGAGGAACACCGAUGGCGAAGGCAGGUCUCUGGGCAUUAACUGACGCUGAGGAGCGAAAGCAUGGGGAGCGAACAGG
This 253-nucleotide ribosomal RNA is filed under the name uncultured microorganism. Its description in RNAcentral is "partial 16S ribosomal RNA". It matches the Rfam family "Bacterial small subunit ribosomal RNA", at positions 524 to 776 of the family's 1533-position model. The record is from RNAcentral.